This 729-nucleotide long non-coding RNA is filed under the name Homo sapiens (human). RNAcentral's name for it is "HSALNT0161075". The record is from RNAcentral. Lineage: Eukaryota; Metazoa; Chordata; Mammalia; Primates; Hominidae.
UUUCCAAGAACCAUGGAGAUUUUGAGUCGUCCCACUUCCCCUUCCCAAUGGGACGCCGUACAGAGCCUCACAUCAUCCUACCAGUGUUUACCUGACGUUGACCCACCAGAGAGUCUACGCAUUCUCAGUGGCACCGAGGUUUGCCUUGCUUACUGCCUUGAGAAGUUCAGGAGAGACAGUGCUUGUGAAAGUUUGCCCGGGACUCCCAGGUUGAAGAUCAUGAGCAUGCCCUGAUGAGCCAAGGCAUGCAACCACAGGGGAACCUAAGUGCUUGGACUGAGGAGUGGGGACUGAAAUAAGAAGCGGACACUGCAGGGCAGGAUCAGGAUCCAAUCAGAUCGAGCCCUGGCAUCACCUCAUGGCAGGAUCUAGUCAGAUCGUGGCUUUUGACAUCACUUCAUUGUGAAAUCCAAUCAGAUCACACCUUAUUACCCUAUCCUUAUAAAACCGGACCUAGCCCCCAGCUCGAGGAGGCACUGCUUUGGGAGUUAUCCCAGGUGUUCUUGUUACUAGUUGCAAGGAAUAAAAUCCUCUUGCUAAAUCCUCCUUGGUUGUGCAGAUGUUGGCAUGGAUGUGGAGAGAAGGGAACACUUACGCUUUGUUGGUGAGGAUGUAAAUUAGCUCAACUCUGUGAUAAACAGUAUGGAGAGUUUUCAAAGAACUAAAAAUAGAACUUCUACUCAACCCAGCAAUCCUAUGAGUGCAUGAGUGGGUAUCUACCCAAAGGAA